CACUUUCCAUCUCUGGGUACUGA
RNAcentral lists this microRNA (23 nucleotides) under Sarcophilus harrisii (Tasmanian devil). Its description in RNAcentral is "Sha-Novel-14-P2_3p* (star (passenger))". The record is from RNAcentral. Lineage: Eukaryota; Metazoa; Chordata; Mammalia; Dasyuromorphia; Dasyuridae.